AAAGUGUGUCGAUGGGUUUGAUUGGUCCAACCACAAACCGGAAACACGUUUACAAUAUUUUAUCAACAUUUCCAUUUUCUAGAAUCGUACUGAUAAAAUUAUACAGCAAGCCCGUUUAAUCUAAAGGUAAAUGACGAAAUUGUGCAUAAUUAUCAAUAAAACAAGUUUAUCACUUAUAUAAACAAUAGCAAGUUGAAGAGCGGCUAAUGAAACACCAAUGAAAAAUUAUAAAAGGGGGAGGGGUGUGUUUCAACAAAUUUUAUACAUGUACGUUUUCGUUUGUCGUGACCCUGCGAAUGACACAAAGUCUAGCAAUGAAUAAUUUCGUCUCUAUGACUAGACUUAGUUUUGGUUAAGGCACAAACCUGUUGUGGAAGAAAAGUAAGAUUUAUGUCAGGACAAAAUGCCUUUAUAAAAUGUCAAUGUAUUGCAAACAUGUAUGAAGGUGGUAUAGGCAGUUCUGAACACAGAAUCAUAUAAAAUGAAAAUCGCUAAAACGUUGCACGUUUGCAGGAUAAACUAGACAUAAUGUUUGUUCUGUAUGUACUUAAUCACAAUUACCCAAAUGACAGCAGUGCUGAUUGUCAAUUAUGAGUUUCAAUUUGCCAAACGUACGAAUGAUGUUCACUAAAUCAAUAGCUUUUGACGGAAAUGCAUUGAACUAGGGAGUUGUCUAUCAUGCAGUCAUUAUUAAAAAUAAAGGCGCUGUGGUCACCUUUUAGCGUCCAUUAGUCAUGUUAGUUGCAUUUGAUUUAAAAAAAGAUAUUAUUCAUAGUAGUUUCAUGGACUUUAUUGCAUACCAUAUAUAAACAAUAUCUGGGCCAACUUUAGUCUGAUUUACCUUUGAAUCAAAUGCCAGACAAGCACAAGAAAUGAAGAGGCCCGACACUCAACAGGGAAAAUAAUUAAUUGGAAAAACGAAGCACACACAUCACACCAAACAUGAGAAAACCAGGAAUAAAAGGUAAAAACACAAAAAACACCUGAAAUAAAAUUACCGAAAAUGUUGCACAAAAAUAACCCUUUACCACCCUUACAUGUAUUUACAUGUAUGUAUGUAUGAUGUUCAAGUGUAAAUAAAAUGGGAAUGGGAAUGGCCCUUGGGCCUUGGGGAAUAUGUCAAAGAGAGAACAACCCGUUCAAAGAGCAUAAAACAGGCGAAGGCCACCAAUGGGUCUUCAACACUGCGUAAAAAUUCCACACCCUUAACCUGCUCCUAAAUAAAAAUGUAUACUAGUACUACAUGUAGUUCAGUGAAAAUGGACGUCGCAUAAAACAUGCAUGUAAAGUCUGAUGGGAUUAUAUAACCCUGUAUCUAGUACUCUGCUAAAUAGAGUUACUCACAGUGGAGCAGCAUCAAAUGAUUCAUUCAAUGCACACUUAUUAAAUAAAAUAAAUGUGUGCAUGUGGAUACUUUAGGUUAACAAGAACUAAAUUCAAAAUGAGGUAUAUUCUUGUAUGAAAUACUGUGAAUUGAAACAUCACAAACAAUGAAAACUUGUCCUACUUUAAAAUUUCCAGUUUUUCUGUAUUUUAUGUGAAAAUUCUUUAUUUGUAUGGUGAAUACUGGCCUACACCACACUUCUGCAAAACACAUCCCUUAGGCCUGCAAAUGAUGAAAAAAAUAUCAUACAGAAGCAACAGCUGGGGUGACACACUUGCUACGUUUUUGUAUUUAAGUGACCUAUUUAAAAGUGUGCAAAUGAAAGAAACAUCCAUAACAUUUUUUUUGCAUCAUUAAAAAGGGUUUUAAAGGUCAGUUUUAAAUGUAACUUUGAAUUCAGUUAGAGUAAAAAGCACAAUAUUAUUCUCUUUAACAAAUGUUCUUAUCUUACAAGUUAUAUAACAUGUCUUAUAACUUGUUAAAAAUGAAUAUCUGUAUUCUGAGAUUUGUUUCACCCUUUUCUGAUGAAUAUUAUUAACAAUUGUAUUUUACAGAUAAAUAAAAGACAGAAGUCACAUUCUUAAAAGAUUUAGUGCACAUUUUUGUACAAAAUGUAUAUGCACAAUCAUGAUCUGAAAAGAUAGUCAUGGUCAUACUCAGAUGAUAUAUAUAAAUCAUGCACUAUUGAAAAUUCUUGCAUUAUGGAAAAUCAUGAUUAUUUUCCAAUUUAAAAAUUCAAUUAAUAAUUUCUUUUAAAUAGGAAAAUGGUAUCAGAUGUACAGCUAGCAAUCUUUGCCAAUGCUCUUGGAGUGUCACUCUUUCUGUUGGUAGUAUUGUAUCAUUAUAUUAGUGUCAACAACAUAAAGAAACAUGACUAAAGAUAGAUCUUAUGGUGAGUAAUUAUGUAUAUUUUAUUUCUGUCCAGAAUAUAACUUAGUUGGCCUUUCAUUUGGGCAGUCUUUCGUUUGGCUAGUUUGUAUUUAGCAGAAUACAUGUAGAAAAUAACCACUUUUGUUACUUCUGGAAUUGCCUACUCAACCAUAUGAUAUCAUGCUAAAAAUUUAUUGUAUAAAGUUCAUUAUUCAUCUUUCAAAAUUUGGAGAUAUUUUUCCAAGCCAUAAAAAUUAUCACUUCAAAGCAGACACUCUGUGAAAAGAAAAUCUGUUCCAAAGUAAUGUAAGGUUAACUGUCUCACAAGGAAGUUAUAUAAAUAUUUUGUGAGAAAGUAAACAAUCCAUUUCUAUUUCAUUGACCUACAUGACUCAUUUCUGUUUAUAUUCACAAUCUGUCUGAUGAUUUUAUGAUAUUUUUUAAGGAGACAUAUUUUUUUUUCCUAUCAAUUUUUUGUUGUCCAUCAUGCCCAAUGCCAUUGUUUUCAUGCCUGCUUCAAAUGCAUAAUGUCACAAUUUCAAUCAAUUCCUUGCAAAAAAUUGCUUAUCAUUUAUCUUGAUUAAAUUAAGGUAUAGUGAGAGUAAAAGAAUAAGAUGACACAAAUUGUACAAGAUUGCAUGAAAUAAUAUUAAAAGUGCCAAUUUAUUGAAAGUUUACAUUGAUAUGUUUAUUUAGUUGUAAUUUCUUUUGUAAUUUGAAAUACCUAAUGAUAUUUUUCAUAUUAGUACAUUCAUAAUGCUAGACAUUUAAAAUAAUUUAGAAUUUAACAUUUUAUUUUUAUUUUUAGGUAAACAGAAAGUGAGGAGUACAUGAGGGGUGAAUGUGAAAAUGAAGAUGACAAUAAUCAAGAAUACAAAUUAAUUGUUACUGUUAUUUAGAAAGUCUGUAAUUGAUUAUAUAUUAAGUAUCAUUGAGUGAAUCUGUCAUUAAAUGUAAAAAAAAAAAUGUUUUUAUGUAGUUAUUAAAAUAGUUUAACAGGGUAAUUAAAUUCUUUUUGUAUGUAGAUUGAUUUGCGUAAGUUUUCCCUUUAAACUGUAACAAAUCAGGGAUCAAAACCAGUUAGAUAUAAAAAAAAACUUUUUUUAUGUUGAUGUAACAGAAAAUAUUUAUAGGUUAGUUCUAUGACAAUGGUGUCACAAAUGUUUAGAUUGAAGCUAGUUGGAAAGUUUUAGUCUGUGUGUCCAUAACUUUGCACAGUAUAAAUCAAACAGGACGCUCAACACAAGUAUUUGCAAAGUUUGCUAUUUAAAAUAACAAGGACAAAAACUUAAACUUAUGUUUAAAGAAGAGACAUGGAAAGGCCC
RNAcentral lists this long non-coding RNA (3579 nucleotides) under Mytilus galloprovincialis (Mediterranean mussel). Lineage: Eukaryota; Metazoa; Mollusca; Bivalvia; Mytilida; Mytilidae. The record is from RNAcentral.